CCUACGGGCGGCUGCAGUGGGGAAUAUUGGGCAAUGGGGGCAACCCUGACCCAGCGACGCCGCGUGGGGGAAGACGGCCUUCGGGUUGUAAACCUCUUUUGUACGGGAAGAAGGAAGUGACGGUACUGUACGAAUAAGUCCCGGCUAACUACGUGCCAGCAGCCGCGGUAAUACGUAGGGGACGAGCGUUGUCCGGAAUUACUGGGCGUAAAGGGCGCGCAGGCUGUGCUGCAAGUCAGCUGUUAAAUGUCUGGGCUUAACCCGGGCAUGCGGUUGAGACUGCGGUGCUGGAGUGCUGUAGAGGCAAGUGGAAUUCCCAGUGUAGCGGUGAAAUGCGUAGAUAUUGGGAAGAACACCGGUGGCGAAGGCGACUUGCUGGGCAGCAACUGACGCUGAGGCGCGAAAGCCAGGGGAGCAAACGGGCUUAGAUACCCUGGUAGUC
This 442-nucleotide ribosomal RNA is filed under the name uncultured Synergistaceae bacterium. Its description in RNAcentral is "bacterial SSU rRNA". It matches the Rfam family "Bacterial small subunit ribosomal RNA", at positions 338 to 795 of the family's 1533-position model. The record is from RNAcentral. Lineage: Bacteria; Thermotogati; Synergistota; Synergistia; Synergistales; Synergistaceae.